GGAAGUAAAAGUCGUAACGAGGUUUCCGUAGGUGAACCUGCGGAAGGAUCAUUAUCAUGUAAUUCAGUCCCCUUGGCUGUGUUAUAUAUAUACCCACUCUGUGUACCUUCUCCUGUUGCUUCCGCUGGGUGUGUAAUUCGCCCGGCGGAAGGGUAAAAAUAACCUCUGAGUAUUGAUGAAAUCUCUGUCUGAACCGAAUAGAAAGAAAAAUGCUAAAACUUUCAGCAACGGAUCUCUUGGUUCUC
Molecule: unclassified non-coding RNA, 245 nt
Filed under: plant metagenome
Description: partial contains small subunit ribosomal RNA, internal transcribed spacer 1, and 5.8S ribosomal RNA
Rfam family: Eukaryotic small subunit ribosomal RNA (bases 1-54)
Source: RNAcentral